CCAAUAGCGUAUAUUAAAGUUGUUGCAGUUAAAAAGCUCGUAGUUGAAUUUCGGGAUUGGCGCAUCGGUCGUGCCUCACGGGGUAUGAACUGGUGCAGUCAAUUUCUCACCUUCUGGAGAACCGCGAUGUCCUUAAUUGGGUGCCGCGGGAAACCAGGACCUUUACUUUGAAAAAAUUAGAGUGUUUAAAGCAGGCAUUUUUGCUUGAAUACAUCAGAAUGGAAUAAUAAAAUAGGACGGCAUGGUUCUAUUUUGUUGGUUUCUAGGACCACCGUAAUGAUUAAUAGGGAUAGUUGGGGGCAUUAGUAUUCAAUUGUCAGAGGUGAAAUUCUUGGAUUUAUUGAAGACUAACUACUGCGAAAGCAUUUGCCAAGGAUGUUUUCAUUAAUCAAGAACGAAAGUUAGGGGAUCGAAGACGAUCAGAUACCGUCGUAGUCUUAACCAUAAACUAUGCCGACUAGGAAUCAGACGAUGUUAAUUUUUUAAUGACUCGUUUGGCACCUUACG
Molecule: ribosomal RNA, 507 nt
Filed under: uncultured Glomeromycotina
Lineage: Eukaryota; Fungi; Glomeromycota
Description: partial small subunit ribosomal RNA
Rfam family: Eukaryotic small subunit ribosomal RNA
Source: RNAcentral